UGCCAGAUACAUACAUAGAGUUGC
This 24-nucleotide non-coding RNA is filed under the name Arabidopsis thaliana (thale cress). Lineage: Eukaryota; Viridiplantae; Streptophyta; Magnoliopsida; Brassicales; Brassicaceae. The record is from RNAcentral.